RNAcentral lists this ribosomal RNA (492 nucleotides) under uncultured bacterium. Its description in RNAcentral is "partial 16S ribosomal RNA". It matches the Rfam family "Bacterial small subunit ribosomal RNA", at positions 29 to 507 of the family's 1533-position model. The record is from RNAcentral.
AGUGAACGCUGGCGGUAGGCCUAACACAUGCAAGUCGAACGGCAGCACAGUAAGAGCUUGCUCUUACGGGUGGCGAGUGGCGGACGGGUGAGGAAUACAUCGGAAUCUACUUUUUCGUGGGGGAUAACGUAGGGAAACUUACGCUAAUACCGCAUACGACCUACGGGUGAAAGCAGGGGAUCUUCGCACCUUGCGCGAUUGAAUGAGCCGAUGUCGGAUUAGCUAGUUGGCGGGGUAAAGGCCCACCAAGGCGACGAUACGUAGCUGGUCUGAGAGGAUGAUCGGCCACACUGGAACUGAGACACGGUCCAGACUCCUACGGGAGGCAGCAGUGGGGAAUAGUGGACAAUGGUCGCAAGCCUGAUCCAGCCAUACCGCGUGGGUGAAGAAGGCCUUCGGGUUGUAAAGCCCUUUUGUUGGGAAAGAAAAGCAGCAGGUUAAUACCCCGCUGUUCUGACGGUACCCAAAGAAUAAGCACCGGCUAACUUCGUG